GACGAACGCUGGCUUCUUUCUUCCCACCUUCACUUCGAACUUAAAUGCCCUGCUUUUUUUUUUUGCUCGAGUGGCGAACGGGUGAGUAACACGUGAGUAACCUGCCCUUGACUUUGGGAUAACUUCAUUAAACUGGGGCUAUUACCGGUUGGAAGCUCCUGCGUCAUGGGGGUGUUGGGAAGUUUUCGGCGGUGUGGGAUGGACUGGCGGCUUUGGAGAUGGUUGGUGGGGUAGUGGCUUACCAAGGCUUUGCCUGGGAGCCGGAAUGGGAGGGUGACAGGACACAUUGGGAAUGAGAUACGGCCCAGACUCCUACGGGAGGCAGAAGUGGGGAAUAUUGCACAAUGGGAGGAAGCCUGAUGCAGCAACGCCGCGUGAGGGAGGAAGGAGGUCGGGUUGUAAACCGCUUUCGCCUGUGACGAAGCGUGAGUGAAGGUAAUGGGUAAAGAAGCAAAGGAGAAAGACGGG
This 468-nucleotide ribosomal RNA is filed under the name uncultured bacterium. RNAcentral's name for it is "partial 16S ribosomal RNA". It matches the Rfam family "Bacterial small subunit ribosomal RNA", at positions 28 to 507 of the family's 1533-position model. The record is from RNAcentral.